Loxodonta africana (African savanna elephant) is the source of this 73-nucleotide transfer RNA. It matches the Rfam family "tRNA". From Rfam's summary of the family: Transfer RNA (tRNA) molecules are approximately 80 nucleotides in length. Their secondary structure includes four short double-helical elements and three loops (D, anti-codon, and T loops). The record is from Rfam. Lineage: Eukaryota; Metazoa; Chordata; Mammalia; Proboscidea; Elephantidae.
GCCUGGGUAGCUCAUUUGGUAGAGCAUCAGACUUUUAAUCUGAGGGUCCAGGGUUCAAGUCCCUGUUCAGGAG